UUACUGGGCGUAAAGCGCGCGUAGGCGGUUUAUUAAGUGGGAUGUGAAAGCCCCGGGCUUAACCUGGGAACUGCAUUCCAAACUGAUAGACUAGAGUACGAUAGAGGGGGUAGAAUUCAGAGUGUAGCGGUGAAAUGCGUAGAUAUUCUGAGGAAUACCGGUGGCGAAGGCGACUCACUGGACCAAUACUGACACUGAGGUACGAAAGCGUGGGUAGCAAACAGGAUUAGAUACCCUGGUAGUCCACGCCGUAAACGAUGUCUACUAGCCGUUGGGGUCCUUGAGACCUUAGUGGCGCAGCUAACGCACUAAGUAGACCGCCUGGGGAGUACGGUCGCAAGAUUAAAACUCAAAUGAAUUGACGGGGGCCCGCACAAGCGGUGGAGCAUGUGGUUUAAUUCGAUGCAACGCGAAAAACCUUACCUACUCUUGACAUACUAGAAACUUUUCAGAGAUGAAUUGGUGCCUUCGGGAAUCUAGAUACAGGUGCUGCAUGGCU
Molecule: ribosomal RNA, 499 nt
Filed under: uncultured Oceanospirillales bacterium
Lineage: Bacteria; Pseudomonadati; Pseudomonadota; Gammaproteobacteria; Oceanospirillales
Description: bacterial SSU rRNA
Rfam family: Bacterial small subunit ribosomal RNA
Source: RNAcentral